RNAcentral lists this long non-coding RNA (131 nucleotides) under Chloebia gouldiae (Gouldian finch). RNAcentral describes it as "Erythrura gouldiae (Gouldian finch) lncRNA (ENSEGOG00005011720.1)". Lineage: Eukaryota; Metazoa; Chordata; Aves; Passeriformes; Passeridae. The record is from RNAcentral.
CAAAAUCGCCGUUUUUUGCCCCAAAACCGCGGAAUUUUUUACCCCCACCUGCCCCAGGUGUGUCCCACCUGUCCCAGGUGAGUCUCACCUGCAUCCCACCUGUCCCACAUCAUUUUGUCACCUCCAAAAUA